CAGCAGUGAGGAAUAUUGGUCAAUGGCCGAAGGGCUGAACCAGCCAAGCCGCGUGAAGGAAUAAGGCCCUACGGGUCGUAAACUUCUUUAGUCAGGGAACAAAGGGAGCCACGCGUGGCUCUGUGAGUGUACCUGAAGAAUAAGCAUCGGCUAACUCCGUGCCAGCAGCCGCGGUAAUACGGAGGAUGCGAGCGUUAUCCGGAUUUAUUGGGUUUAAAGGGUGCGUAGGCGGUUUGUCAAGUCAGCGGUAAAAAUUCCGGGCUCAACCCGGUCCCGCCGUUGAAACUGGCGAACUCGAGAGGGAGAGAAGUAGGCGGAAUGCGCAGUGUAGCGGUGAAAUGCAUAGAUAUUGCGCAGAACUCCGAUUGCGAAGGCAGCCUACCGGCUCCUGUCUGACGCUGAGGCACGAAAGCGUGGGUAUCGAACAGGAUUAGA
RNAcentral lists this ribosomal RNA (435 nucleotides) under uncultured Porphyromonadaceae bacterium. RNAcentral describes it as "bacterial SSU rRNA". It matches the Rfam family "Bacterial small subunit ribosomal RNA", at positions 349 to 782 of the family's 1533-position model. Lineage: Bacteria; Pseudomonadati; Bacteroidota; Bacteroidia; Bacteroidales; Porphyromonadaceae. The record is from RNAcentral.